Molecule: unclassified non-coding RNA, 319 nt
Organism: Mesocricetus auratus (golden hamster)
Lineage: Eukaryota; Metazoa; Chordata; Mammalia; Rodentia; Cricetidae
Gene: 7SK
Rfam family: 7SK RNA
About the family: 7SK was discovered as an abundant small nuclear RNA in the mid-70s but a possible function has only recently been suggested. Two independent studies have found that 7SK RNA binds the CDK9/cyclin T complex (known as elongation factor P-TEFb). P-TEFb activates transcription by phosphorylating the C-terminal domain of RNA polymerase II.
Source: Ensembl
GGGUGAGAGUGUGACCUGGCUGUGACACGUCACCCCAUUGGUUUCCACUGUUGAUUCUGCUGAUCUGGAUGGUGAGGUGGGUGUCCCCUUUCUCCCUCACCACUUCAUGUGCGUCCCUCCCAAAGUCGUGCACUUGGCCAAAGAGGACAACUUUCCCGGGAUGGGGGAGGACCAGUCUUCAGUCAAGGGUAUAGAGUAGCUGUGCUCCCCUCAAGAACCUCCAAACAAGCUCUCAAGGUCCAUCAGGUCAAACUCUAAGUGCAACACGGAGGACAGAUUUCUCAGGCAAAGUAAAUUGUUUCUAAGAGACUUUAAAUUU